This 456-nucleotide ribosomal RNA is filed under the name uncultured bacterium. Its description in RNAcentral is "bacterial SSU rRNA". It matches the Rfam family "Bacterial small subunit ribosomal RNA", at positions 340 to 786 of the family's 1533-position model. The record is from RNAcentral.
UACGGAAGGCAGCAGGGGGAAUAUUGCACAAUGGGCGCAAGCCUGAUGCAGCCAUGCCGCGUGUAUGAAGAAGGCCUUCGGGUUGUAAAGUACUUUCAGUCGUGAGGAAGGUGUUAAGGUUAAUAACCUUAGCAAUUGACGUUAGCGACAGAAGAAGCACCGGCUAACUCCGUGCCAGCAGCCGCGGUAAUACGGAGGGUGCGAGCGUUAAUCGGAAUUACUGGGCGUAAAGGGCACGCAGGCGGUUAAUUAAGUUGGAUGUGAAAUCCCCGGGCUUAACCUGGGAAUGGCAUUCAAGACUGGUUAGCUAGAGUCUUGUAGAGGGGGUAGAAUUCCAUGUGUAGCGGUGAAAUGCGUAGAGAUGUGGAGGAAUACCGGUGGGCGAAGGCGGGCCCCUGGGACAAAGGACUGACGCUCAUGUGCGAAAGCGUGGGGAGCAAACAGGGAUUAGAUACC